UACGAAGGUCCCAAGCGUUGUUCGGAAUCACUGGGCUUAAAGGGCGCGUAGGCGGGUGGCUAAGUCUGUGGUGAAAUCCUCCAGCUCAACUGGAGAACUGCCAUGGAUACUGGUCGUCUCGAGGAAGGUAGGGGUACGUGGAACUAUCGGUGGAGCGGUGAAAUGCGUUGAUAUCGAUAGGAACUCCGGUGGCGAAGGCGACGUACUGGACCUUUUCUGACGCUGAGGCGCGAAAGCCAGGGGAGCAAACGGG
This 253-nucleotide ribosomal RNA is filed under the name uncultured bacterium. RNAcentral describes it as "partial 16S ribosomal RNA". It matches the Rfam family "Bacterial small subunit ribosomal RNA", at positions 524 to 776 of the family's 1533-position model. The record is from RNAcentral.